This 685-nucleotide long non-coding RNA is filed under the name Equus caballus (horse). RNAcentral describes it as "lncRNA (ENSECAG00000053813.1)". The record is from RNAcentral. Lineage: Eukaryota; Metazoa; Chordata; Mammalia; Perissodactyla; Equidae.
AACAAGUGGUCCCCAGGCUCCUGUUGACUUCAAGGAGAACAAUGGUGGCCUUGCAGAGUCUGGCCUUUGGAGAUGGAGCUCACACGUGGAAGGAUCCUGGAUCAGAACCAGUUUAGUUUUUCUUCUGUUCUAAUGCCAGUAUUUUCUUAGUACCCACUUUACAGAUAAGGAAACAGGUGUGAAGAUGUUGGGUAACACGACCAGCCUGAGGUCUGGCGUCUUCAGAGCAGACAAUUCACUCAGGGGUGGUUUCUCCAGUGCGGCUGGGAAGAGAAGCGGCAGACAGGGCAGCACCUGCUGCUGCUGCUGCUGCUCUGGGAAACCUUGCAGACUCAGUUUCUCCUAAGAUGUGGGGAGAAAAGCUGGGAGAGGCACGCAUCCCGCCUGACUCGGAAGACUGGGUGGCCGCAUCCCUCGCGUGGGCAUCAAGAGGCUGCAGCCCCUCUGCUGUGACUUCCUAGCAGUUCUUGGACUUUGGUGCCAAGGAAUCCUAACGAAGCAAAUAUUCCAUUAAACAACAACGACGUCAUGGUGAAAGACUAUUACAGAUUCAACCAGGCGGACGUGUCGGGCGUCACAUAAGGGUUAGAUGUAGGAAAUUUCACAGUGAGUCCUGAGCUUCCCCACGAGGUCGAUAUUCGUGGCUUUGACAACAUGUUUAGACUCAAGCAUCACAGGAAACGAG